This 464-nucleotide ribosomal RNA is filed under the name uncultured bacterium. RNAcentral describes it as "bacterial SSU rRNA". It matches the Rfam family "Bacterial small subunit ribosomal RNA", at positions 331 to 792 of the family's 1533-position model. The record is from RNAcentral.
CCAGACUCCUACGGGAGGCAGCAGUGAGGAAUAUUGGUCAAUGGCCGAGAGGCUGAACCAGCCAAGUCGCGUGAGGGAAGAAUGUCCUAAGGAUUGUAAACCUCUUUUGUCGGGGAGCAAAAAGGCUCUGCGGAGUCGUAUUGAGAGUACCCGAAGAAAAAGCAUCGGCUAACUCCGUGCCAGCAGCCGCGGUAAUACGGAGGAUGCGAGCGUUAUCCGGAUUUAUUGGGUUUAAAGGGUGCGUAGGCGGUCGGAUAAGUUAGAGGUGAAAUCCCGAGGCUCAACUUCGGAAUUGCCUCUGAUACUGUUCGGCUAGAGAGUAGUUGCGGUAGGCGGAAUGUAUGGUGUAGCGGUGAAAUGCUUAGAGAUCAUACAGAACACCGAUUGCGAAGGCAGCUUACCAAGCUACUUCUGACGUUGAGGCACGAAAGCGUGGGGAGCAAACAGGAUUAGAUACCCGCGUA